GAAAUCUCGGUGCCAUCGAUGCAAGACGGAGAUUGUCACAGACACAGGCCAGCUCCCACAGACAGCUGGCUUCUGGCCCCCACGUGGGAGGACUGGCUGGGGGUGGGAGGAAUGGGGCAUGGGGCCUUUCCCCUCUAGGGGGCGCUGGCUCCGAUCUGCCCCAGGGUGGGACACUGGCUGGCUCCACGGUGUGGGAAUGGGACCCGGGGUCCUUCCCCGCUACGGUCUCUCAGCAGGGGACACACCAGCAGAUUGGAGCUGGUCCACUGAGCGCAGAUGUCUGCUUUCUGUCUCUCGGUUCCUCAAACACCUCACGGGUCACUGAGUCUGGGGAUUCCCUUGUGAAUUCUCGGCUGGAUCAGGAGAGGCAGCUGGAUUCCACGGCCCGCCACAGACUCCGUCCUUCGACUUAAGAGGAUUCCUCCACGUUCAGGCCACAAACCACCCCUGGAUUGGAGAGGGGAUCUGUCUUGAUCCAUGGAGCAAACGGACGUCUUCUGGGGGAAAACCAUCGCUGCCGCCAUCCUCUACAGGGAGUUGUUGGAGGAGGCGUGGGCCCACUUCUGGUUGCUGGGGGACCUGGAGAAGGAUACCCAGCUGCUGUUGUGGAAGCAGAAGGAAGGACAGACCUGGUGCCAGGAAAUCCGUGGUUACCAACUCAGGCAUAUAGAUGGGGCUGUUCCUCUGCAGCCGGAAAAGCUGAGCUAAAAACCGACUCUCACUGGAAAGGGGAAAUGAGAAAUGAGACUUCACCUGGGGGACAGCCACCCUGCCUCAGACCCAUCUAGCCCAGUAUCCAGCCCCCUCCCUGCUGACCCAGAUCUGUCCCAUAAGCCUGGAAGCACAUGGAAGCUGCCUGUAAUAUUUUUAUGACUAUUAUAUAUUGUCUGUUUUCCCGAUAGUUAUUAUGCUGUUUUUCCUAUGUCUAUGACGGCUGAUAGGAGCUCAGAUACUCCAGUGAUGAACGUGGUAAAAGGACACAGAGAGAAUUGAACGGGAUAGAAUAGAAUACCCAUAUUUACUGAUCCUCACAAGAGAAUGCAGAAACCAACAACUGUGAAGAUUGUUCCCAACUAGAACCGGGCAAAACUUUGUUCUGGUGAAAAAUUCAGAUUCAGUCACACCAAAA
Chelonia mydas (Green sea turtle) is the source of this 1129-nucleotide RNA transcript. RefSeq lists it as uncharacterized. The record is from RefSeq and is a predicted model, not a curated record. The transcript is spliced from 3 exons. NCBI's taxonomy places the organism in Eukaryota, Metazoa, Chordata, Testudines, Cheloniidae.